RNAcentral lists this long non-coding RNA (1505 nucleotides) under Ananas comosus (pineapple). RNAcentral's name for it is "long non-coding RNA (ACOM_LNC032085)". Lineage: Eukaryota; Viridiplantae; Streptophyta; Magnoliopsida; Poales; Bromeliaceae. The record is from RNAcentral.
ACUGUUGUUGUGUUAAGGAUAAUAAAUUAAGGAAAAACUUCAAAUUCCACCCGUGGUUUCACCCCUAUAAUUUAAAGUGUAUCAAUUUAGUAUUCUGUAAUUUUAUUUUUAUCUUUUUAUUAUUGAUUCUAUUAAUUUUUUUCGUUAAAUCAGUGACAAAGUUAAAACUAAAAAGCACUAACGUGAAUAUUCAAUAAACCUAGAUGGGAUAUCUAAAAUUUUUUAUAUAUAAUUUAACGAAAUAUUAACGGAGAAGCUGACGAAAAGAUAAAAAUAAAAUUAUAGAAUACUAACUUGAUACAUUUUAAAUCACGCGGUACUAAAGUGAGAAAGUGCGAAACUAUGGGGAUGGUUUUUAAAGUUUACCCAUAAAUUAACUUGGAUAAAAGCUCGAGGAAUGUUUACGUAGUAUGUGUAUAUAUAUAUAGGGAUACUAUAUUUUUAUGAGCAUAAAACUUUUUGUACUUAUAAGUUUUCGGCAUUUAGAUGAAGAAAUGUGCGGUUGGAAUAAUCGUGGUCCCAGAUUAAGAUGAUAAUAGUCUCCUAUAAUUAAGUGGAUUGUUGGUUGAAUAGUACGAUUCGAAAAUAAUCAAAAAAAUAAAUUUAAUGACCGAAAAUUUAUAAACAUAAAAAGAUCUACACUCAUAAAUUUAUGAAAAAAUUUCAUCACUACCCUUUCGAAUAAGUCUAAUAUCAUGAAUGCCCCUAUAAAAAUUGAAAUAUCAUAAAUAAUCUUUUAAAAGAGAGUAACUUUCAAAAAUAACCUUUACACUAAUUUAUUAUAAAUUUUGAAUAAACAACAAACAAAAUUUCAACUUUGCCCUUAUUGUCAUUACCAUCUUAAAAUAUUUAAUUGAUUAUAAAAUCAUUUAUAAUUUUAUAAACACUCUUUUAAGUUUAUAAAUAAUCUACAUUUAGAAAUAAGUUUUUUGUCAGUUAAAAAAAUAUAUAUAUAUAAUCCUGACAAGUUAAGCUAAAAAAUAAAAAAAAUCAAAAAUUUUGAAAAAAAUUUAGCAAAAAAUUGUUUAAAGUAUCAAUUGACUCAUUAAAAUUAGGUUAAACAAUUUAUUCAAAGUAUAACUUAAAUAUAUAUGCAUGAUGUGAAUUAAGUUAUUUGAACUAGCAUGAAUUUCUGUGCUUUGGCAUCUCAAAUUUUAAAAUAAAUGAUAUAAAGUAUUUUAUUUUAGUAUCUUAUUUUAUAAACCACACAGCAGUAAAAUGAUAUAUUUUACUGUUUAUUUUAAUAUUUUAAAAUAAAUAUAUCACGCUAAAAUAUUUUUGUAAAAAAUUUAGAAGUUAAGGACAAAAUGGACAUUUCGACCAUAUUUAUGAUAAUCUAAAUACUUUAUCAUUCUAUAAAGAGAUGAAUAGUAAGGAUAAGGGUAUAUUUAAAAAAUAAUAAAUAUUUGUAGGAAUAACUAUGAUAUAAUCAAAUUUAUAAAAAUAUCUAUAAUGUUUUUGAAGUUUAAAGGGGCACAAAUAAAAUUGACCCUAAAUUUAUAGUA